RNAcentral lists this ribosomal RNA (265 nucleotides) under uncultured bacterium. RNAcentral describes it as "partial 16S ribosomal RNA". It matches the Rfam family "Bacterial small subunit ribosomal RNA", at positions 28 to 286 of the family's 1533-position model. The record is from RNAcentral.
GACGAACGCUGGCGGCGUGCUUAACACAUGCAAGUCGAGCGGUAAGGUCCUUUCGGGGGUACGACGAGCGGCGAACGGGUAGAGUAACACGUGGGUGACCUGCCUUUAGUCUCUGGGAGUAAAGCCUGGGAAACGUAGGGUCGUAAUACCGGAUAUGACUCCGCGGUGCAUGCUGUGGGGUGGAAAGCCUUGUGCGGCUGGAGAUGGGCCCGCGGCCUAUCAGCUUGUUGGUGGGGUGAUGGCCUACCAAGGCGACGACGGGUAG